UGAUUGUUUGGAUCUCAAUUGCCAUAUUGUUCUGGUUUACACUUUGAUCAUCAUAGUCUUCAUCAUAGUUGGUAUCUGAAUAUCUUUCAUCAUGCAUGGCCGGGGGAGUCCAUUCCUCAUCAUCUUCUCCUUACUGCUCUGUAUGCUUGAAUCGUCUCACAUUAACAUGUUGAUGACUAUUCAAAGUAUUUUCUUUCUUUCUCUCUCUUCUUCUUCUACUCUUUUUUUAAAAUCUAAAAUAUAUAUAAAUAACUACUCAAUACACUAUAAACAUUACGGUUUUAGAAUAAGCACUAUUGUGAAAAAAUAUAAAUAAAUAAUUUUGAAAUGACAUUUAAUGAUGAUUAUUGAGUAAAGAAAAGUUUGUAGCUGAAUUGUGGCUGGUAUGACAUUGAUUAUUUUAUAAAAAUAUGAAAUUAAUGUUCAGUGAUAAAGCACCUUAAAUACCUGCAGUACCAAAUAUGAUAGACACAUUUUAACACGAUUUAAAUGUAAUAUAACAAAAACAUUUCUAAGUAAUUGUGCAUUAUUUCAAAACAUAAAACAUUACUUUAAAAAAGUGAAUAACAAUGUAUAUAUUAUUUUUACUGUAAGUUGUUUAAAAUUGGCAAAGACUUUCCUGGAAAACGCGUAUGACCAAUCUCAUGCGAGACGACAUUUAGAAAAGAGGGAAACAAAACGCUUUCUCUGCCUGCAGUGCAAUGAUAAUCCAGUAGAUGGCAGAAUACAAGUCUGAAAUUGUAUACAAUAGGUUUUUGGGUACAUAUUGAUCAUGUUCU
Long non-coding RNA from Xiphophorus couchianus (Monterrey platyfish), 779 nucleotides. RefSeq lists it as uncharacterized. The transcript is spliced from 3 exons. Lineage: Eukaryota; Metazoa; Chordata; Actinopteri; Cyprinodontiformes; Poeciliidae. The record is from RefSeq and is a predicted model, not a curated record.